AUUGAAGUAAACAUUAUAUGAGAGUUUUUAGGCUAUAAAGUGAUCAAACAAUUUUCUACUAGUUACAUGCAAAAGAGGGAAAAGUAUGACUGAAGUUCUCAAGCUUGUUUAUAUCAUGAUCAUAUUUCUUUACAUAUUUCUUGUUGUAGCUGACACUGAUCCAUUCGCUUUUUGUAUUAAAGAUUCUAAUUGUGGACAAGAUCUAUGUACAUCUCCUAAUGAAGUUCCAGAAUGUAGGUUGCUAAAGUGUCAAUGUAUUAAAUCAUAGAUUGUAGUCUACAUUUCAUGAGAAGUGAACGAUGGCACUUUGCUUGUGUGAGUAGAGUAUAAACUUCAAUUUAAUUAUUCAGUUUCGUUGGGGUUAUUGUAUUCCUUAUUAGAUAUUUGUAUUGUUAUAAUUGACUUUCAUAAGCCAAAAUGUUGUAUUAUUGUUAUUUAUUUUAUUUCGCAAACUUAUCUUUUAGAAAUGUGAAAAAAAUAAUUUGCGCCAAA
Medicago truncatula (barrel medic) is the source of this 492-nucleotide long non-coding RNA. RefSeq lists it as uncharacterized. The transcript has 3 exons. NCBI's taxonomy places the organism in Eukaryota, Viridiplantae, Streptophyta, Magnoliopsida, Fabales, Fabaceae. The record is from RefSeq and is a predicted model, not a curated record.